UUUUUUUUUUUUAAUAUUAAAAACAUUUUUAAGACUGUCAAAGUUUUAAGGUGGAAUUCUGUAUUUUAGCUAUGGAUGUCUGCAGAUUAAAAGAAAAAGAGCUGUUUGCCCUGCCCCUUGGGUUUCGCGUCUUCUGUCUAGCUUCACACCCUCCUCACUUUUGAUUUUUGAGAACUAUGGGGUCCAUGGUUCUCCUUGGCUGUGAGAUUUUACUAGGGAUGCAUAUCAAACCUUGGACUGGUGCAUGCAAGCCCUGCCUGUGAGAACCCUUUCAUGUCCCAGUAAUUGGAAUGCUUUAAGUCACCUGUGAGAGUACUCUAAGGCUCCAUUCGUCAUUUUCCUCAGGGGACCAGAGCUCUGACAUCUAACUUUUCCAUAUCUGUUUAUAUCGGAGCAGACCUUCCAUCUCUAAGAACCACCAACUUCGAGUGGAACGGACCCACACACCCUUUCUUUCCAUUUCUCUGGGCACAAGAAAGUUUCAGGAACUCCUAACUUGUAGCUGCAGAACGAGUUAACUCACAUGUCAUGGUCAACCAGGCCAGACAACCUUUGACUUCUGGGAUCUCUAAGGGUUGGGGUGAAGUGGGAGGAUGGACAAUAGCUCAUUGUCACAGGAGACGCUUGUCCUGUGAGGAAGAGAGUCCCAGAAUCAUUGCUGUCCUCGUUAGGGUGGUGUCCGUUAAGGAUUAAUUCGUUAGCACCGCAUUCCUAGUUUUCCGUAAUUAUUAUUCUUACAGCAAGCGUGAAUUCAUCCAGGGAGUGAGAAAAAAAAAAAGUUUGCUUCCAGGACAAUGAAUGUAUUAUCCGUUCCUAACUGGACCGUGAACUUCAGCUCGUUUCACAUAGAUAUCAGUUUAAGAAAAGGAGAGUGUGUGUGAUGUUGUAGGGGGAGUCUGAGGACUGGGAUUUCAAAACAGGGCAUGGUUCACUGUACGAUCUACAGAAAAAAGCACUCUCCCUUCCUGGACAAAUGGUGCUAUCCUUUUGGCAAGGCGUAGGAAUUCGGAAGACUGAGACUUUUAAAAGUGAGCUACUGCAGGAUUCUAUUCGGCUGCUGCCUGGGACUCAGUAUGUCCAUUCCAAGGACUUGAGUAAAAGUAGUUGUGGGUAUGUGUGUACUUGUCUAUUUUCUCUCGUAAUUUCUUACCUAGACGUCUGAAACUUUACCAGUGGCUACAGAACAGUAUCACAGAGCGCUUUUGGCUAAUGAGAUUCGCAGUCCUCUAUCUCUUACGACCCUGAGCGUAUUCAAGGCAUUUAUUUUCCCAUUAGACUUUCUGCCAGCAAGAACAAGGUUUGCUUGUAUGAGAUGGUCAUAUUGCUUCGAUUCACACAGCUUGUUAAGCACUACAAAUGAAUUUACUGAUUAGAUUGGCAAUUAUUUUCUACGCUAAGUUGUAAGCUUGAAAAAAAGGGGGGGGGGACCUGCUCUCGGGAAAAACAUUCUUUUCCCUUACUGUACUUAGGCGGUCCUAGAUUUUAUAGACUGUUAAUGGUAAAUCCUGUCAUCUUUUUUAUUUCUUGCAAAUAUCACCAAAGGCUUCUCUAGAGCAAGCGCGUUCUUUCUCUCUCUCUCUUUCCUAGUUUGGAAAACUGUAAUUUCUUUUCUGUAAAGUUUACUUGGAAGUUGCUCUUCAUCUAAAAUUAUUUUGCAGAUGUUUUACCACAGGGAAUAUAGUGUAUAAAAGUGGUGGGAACACUUAGCAAUGCAUUUGACUCAAGAUAAACAAUACAGAAAGCUCACACGCUGCUGUUUAGGCUGCAUACUGAAAAGAAGUUUCUCGGGACUUCAGUGCCUCUUGAUUUUUGCUUUGAAUAAGGGGUGAGAAAUCUACAAGCUCUUUAGAGAAGAUGUAGGAAAUACCACAGGAAAUAAAUCAAAAUUUUAGUUCCCUUAAGGGCAAUUGCACACCAUAGAAUUUUAGACCUACCAGUUACAAAUAAUUCUGAUGUAAAUUUUCCAGUUUUGGUGGCAAACUAAGGAAAAGCUUUUCUGAAGGAUGAAACAACUAAUGAAAAGAAUACAAAUUUUACAUUUUAUUUCUUUAGUUCUCUCUCCUUGAAUAGCCCUCACUCCUUCACCCACAAGAUCGCCACCUUACUAGCCCAAACAAUUUUUCCAAAGUGAAAAAAAAGGAAAAGAAAACUCCUGGUUUACAUCGUUCCUCUAGCAAAAGACAGUUCAAGAUCUGAAUUUCACAUUAAAGGCAAAUAAAGCUUUAAAAAUUACCUCCUGUGUCAUCUGGCUGCUCAGACUCCAGGCUCAUAGUGGGAACCUCCGGCUUGGUCCUCCCGGCAUACAAAGGCAACUCAGUGAAUGCCCCCUCCGCCCAUGGAGACUCGGCCUCAGCUGCCAGCUCCGGGAUAUGCAAUUUUGCUUUUUAAUGAAUCGUAAACAAUUUGUAUGGCAAAUGAGUUUGUUUGUUUUAGUUUGGGGGCAUGUGCUGAGCCAGGUUGUACGAGGUCAUCACCUAUUCCAGGAUUUAGGUGCAAAUGGGUGGAGCUCUGGGUCACUUUUUAAUUUUUUUUUUCUAAAUAAUAAGGACACACUAGGAUAAAAGAAACCAGUCAAUAAAAGAUUAAGAAUAACAAGCCCUCUCCCCCUUCCUUUUCCUCCCCUCCCCCCAUAACUGCCCUGGCUUACAGUGGAGUUUUGUGCCCUUUCUAAUAACUAGCUGGAAAGCAUUUGCAUGACGUAACCAACAUUUCUUAUGGGUAUAAGUUUUAGCAUUGUCUUUAAAAGACUACUUCCACUUUAAAAAAAAAAAACAGCUAUUUUAUGAUGAAAAAUACUGACAUGGGACAUCUCCAGCAUCACUUCUUAAAAUUAAAAGUUAACACUUUCCCGAAGGCUAUUGGAGAUAAGAAAUUAGAAAGAUAGUUUUUAUAUGAAAGUGGUG
Molecule: long non-coding RNA, 2903 nt
Filed under: Mus musculus (house mouse)
Lineage: Eukaryota; Metazoa; Chordata; Mammalia; Rodentia; Muridae
Description: long non-coding RNA chr4:97582314-97585217
Source: RNAcentral